RNAcentral lists this transfer RNA (67 nucleotides) under Acrochordus granulatus (little file snake). Its description in RNAcentral is "tRNA-Phe". It matches the Rfam family "tRNA". Rfam says of the family: Transfer RNA (tRNA) molecules are approximately 80 nucleotides in length. The record is from RNAcentral. Lineage: Eukaryota; Metazoa; Chordata; Lepidosauria; Squamata; Acrochordidae.
GUUAUUAUAGCUUAAACCUAAAGCAUAGCACUGAAAAUGCUAAAAUGGUUAUACAACCCUAAUAACA